CUCUUUACAUUUUCCAAGCAACAUUUGGACCAAGUCAUCAGUUCCAUACCUCUUGGCUGAAAUUAAAUAAAAUGAACCAUGAGACUUUCAAAUGGCAUGAAGAAUGAAAGUUUUAAAAGAUAUAUGUAAAAGUACCAAUGUAAUGGAUCUCUUCUUUGGCUGAUUGGUAUCCUUUGAUUGAUGAAGUGAAGACACUUGACAUCAACUGGUGGUCAAUAUCCAGCAUCUGCUUCCCAAUACUACAAAUACUACCUUCUGGUGCCUGAUGACCACUUAGCCCUUCCUCAUCCUGGUGCUGUUUGACCAGUGAUUUCUUUAAGUCUCUAUUACCUGUUGAAUUCAGACACGUACCAUCAUUUGGCAGCAGAGAUUGAACAUCAUCACCAUUAUUGUCCUCCUCUUCCUGCUUCUGGCCAUUUUCUCCAUUUCCUAUGAGAAG
Molecule: long non-coding RNA, 439 nt
Organism: Saccostrea cuccullata (small rock oyster)
Lineage: Eukaryota; Metazoa; Mollusca; Bivalvia; Ostreida; Ostreidae
Exons: 4
Source: RefSeq, a predicted model, not a curated record